Long non-coding RNA from Carassius carassius (crucian carp), 364 nucleotides. RefSeq lists it as uncharacterized. NCBI's taxonomy places the organism in Eukaryota, Metazoa, Chordata, Actinopteri, Cypriniformes, Cyprinidae. The record is from RefSeq and is a predicted model, not a curated record. The transcript is spliced from 3 exons.
UUUCCUUUCUUUCUGUCUUACAGGAUUGUUUGCAGAUAAUGCUGUUCUUCUUUUUCAGAAGUUUUUUGUGAGCCAACCCUCACAAACCUUCCUAAAAACUAAAAGAGCUAUUACUGAGUCUCAGCGAAUCUUGCCAUGAUCAGCUCUUCCCAGAAGAGAAGGAAGACCAAGGAAAUUAUUUGCUCAGGAUGAGGAAUGAAGACGGCCAUCUUGAGCCCAAACAAAGACAGAAGUCCACCGAUGAUCUCAUCAGCCAAAUGAGGGGUUUUGACCAAGUGAUGCUCUUGAAAGGAGUGAAAGAAGAGGAUGUGGUAAAUUGUCUUCAGAGAAAAAGCUUCUCAAAAGGUCUUAAAACAGCUUGAAU